Molecule: ribosomal RNA, 253 nt
Filed under: uncultured bacterium
Lineage: Bacteria
Description: partial 16S ribosomal RNA
Rfam family: Bacterial small subunit ribosomal RNA
Source: RNAcentral
UACGUAGGGGGCAAGCGUUGUCCGGAUUUAUUGGGCGUAAAGAGCGUGUAGGCGGCUAGGUAGGUCCGUUGUGAAAACUCGAGGCUCAACCUCGAGCUGUCGAUGGAAACCAUCUGGCUAGAGUCCGGAAGAGGAGAGUGGAAUUCCUGGUGUAGCGGUGAAAUGCGCAGAUAUCAGGAAGAACACCCGUGGCGAAGGCGGCUCUCUGGGACGGUACUGACGCUGAGACGCGAAAGCGUGGGGAGCGAACAGG